UUUUUUCUUUUAUGUUCCAAGAAGUAGCCU
Molecule: non-coding RNA, 30 nt
Filed under: Mus musculus (house mouse)
Lineage: Eukaryota; Metazoa; Chordata; Mammalia; Rodentia; Muridae
Source: RNAcentral